This 1312-nucleotide ribosomal RNA is filed under the name Chamaemyia juncorum. Its description in RNAcentral is "16S ribosomal RNA". The record is from RNAcentral. Lineage: Eukaryota; Metazoa; Arthropoda; Insecta; Diptera; Chamaemyiidae.
GUAAAAUUUUCUUAUUUUUUUUUAUUGUUUUUAUUUAUUUUUAUUAAAAAUAAUUAUAUAUAAUAUGGUUAAAGUAAAAUAUAUUGAAAUAAUGGUAUUAAUUAUAUAUAAUUAGUAUUGUGAGAGAAAGGUGAAAUAUUUUGAAAAAUUUUUAUUUUAAAAGAAAGUUUUAUUUAUUGUACCUUGUGUAUCAGGGUUUAUUAAUUAAAUAUUAUAAUUUUAAUUUUCUCGAUUUUAAAAGAGCUAAUAAAAUAUUUUAGUUAAUGUAGUAAAAUUAUUGUUAAUAUUUUAUUAGAAAUGAAAUGUUAUUCGUUUUUAAAGGUAUCUAGUUUUUUUAGAAAUAAAUUUAAUUUAUUAUAUGUGGAGUUAAUUGUUUAUUUUUUAAAUAUAUUAAAUUAAUAUAUAUAAUAUUUUAUGGGAUAAGCUAUAAAAUAAAAUUUUAUAAAUUAAAGAAUUAAUUUAAAAUAUAAGCUUAGAAAUAGCUAUUAUUUAAAAUUAUGUUAUAAUUUAUUAAUUGAUUUAUAAUAUUUAUUAAGUUUUAAAUUUAUAUAAAAAUAUUGUUUAUAAUUUUAUUAAACAAUAAAUUAUGAUAAAAUUAGUAUAAUUUAUAGUGUUAAUUUAUAAAAAUUAGAAAGUUUUAAUUAAAGAAUUCGGCAAAUAUUAUAUUCGCCUGUUUAACAAAAACAUCUCUUUUUGAAUUUAUUUAAAGUUUAACCUGCCCACUGUUUUAUAAAUGGCCGCAGUAUUUUAACUGUGCAAAGGUAGCAUAAUCAUUAGUCUUUUAAUUGAAGGCUGGAAUGAAUGGUUGGACGAAAUAUAUGCUGUUUCAAUUUAAUUAUUAUAGAAUUUUAUUUUUUAGUUAAAAAGCUAAAAUUUUUUUAAAAGACGAGAAGACCCUAUAAAUCUUUAUAAAUUUAGUUUUUAAUAUUUAAAGAAUAUUUUUUAUUAAAAAUUUAAAUUUAUUUUAUUGGGGUGAUAAUGAAAUUUAAUAAACUUUCAAAAAUUAAAUACAUAAAUAUAUGUGUUUUUGAUCCAAUUAUAUUGAUUAAAAAUUUAAGUUACUUUAGGGAUAACAGCGUAAUUAUUUUGGAGAGUUCUUAUCGAUAAAAUAGAUUGCGACCUCGAUGUUGGAUUAAAAGUAAUUUUAGGCGUAGCAGUUUAAAAUUUAAGUCUGUUCGACUUUUGGAAUUUUACAUGAUCUGAGUUCAAACCGGUGUAAGCCAGGUUGGUUUCUAUCUUUAAUAUAUUAUUACAUUUUAGUACGAAAGGAUUAAAUGUAUGAUUUAUUAAUUUAAUUAAGAAUAUAAUUAAU